RNAcentral lists this small RNA (32 nucleotides) under Bombyx mori (domestic silkworm). Its description in RNAcentral is "ovarian small RNA-2479". Lineage: Eukaryota; Metazoa; Arthropoda; Insecta; Lepidoptera; Bombycidae. The record is from RNAcentral.
ACAACACGGGUCGCGUAAGGGACAGAGUCCCA